AACUAAAAAGUCUCCCAACGUGCAUACCGUCCAUUUGCAUGUUGUUGUGAGCCGCAUGGAAACUCGUACACAUGUGGUGGCAGCCGUCUGCUGUGCUUUUUUGUGCAGACAAUGGCUUACGAGUGGCUGUGUGCUUGUUGAACAACGGUGACCAAUUUGGCGUCUACGCCGUAUCUAGCUUCCGCCUGGACCGUCGGUUGCGAUGAAAGAUGCGGAGGAAGUUCCUUUGUGUUGGCUUAUCAUCAUUGAUCAGCUGAUGCAGAGUCGAGCAGACUUAAUGAGCCACGCUAGGUGGCCGCCAAAACCCAAAACACAACCGGUCUAUUUGACAUUGUUACUUUGUAUGUGUUGAAAAUGUACAAAUCUUGGCGGUGGAUCACUCGGUUCGUGGAUCGAUGAAGAACGCAGCCAGCUGCGAUAAAUAGUGCGAAUUGCAGACACAUUGAGCACUAAGAAUUCGAACGCACAUUGCGCUAUCGGGUUCAUUCCCGAUGGCACGUCUGGCUGAGGGUCGAAUUACGGUGAACUGUCUUCGCGGUUUUUAGUGACUGUGAAGCAUUCGGCGAGCAAUUGUUGCUGUGUUGUUGAUGAUUGAGUCGACAAUAUGGCACACGGUUCCUUGCUUAGUUAUGAAGAGAAGAAGACGUCAACACCGAACCUACUAUACUACUAGUACUAGUGUAUAGGUGAGGUGCUUUUGGUGGUCACAAAAGUGAAAAGUAUGCCAUUUCAUAGGGGCAACAACCAGCAUACAUGAUAAGUUGGCUGGUUGAUGAAACGGCAACGGAAUGAUGUAUGUGAUCAAAAAUGUUUAUAUUUGACCUCAGCUCAGUCGUGAUACCCGC
This 845-nucleotide ribosomal RNA is filed under the name Anisakis ziphidarum. RNAcentral's name for it is "eukaryotic LSU rRNA". The stretch from base 361 to 514 matches the Rfam family "5.8S ribosomal RNA". Lineage: Eukaryota; Metazoa; Nematoda; Chromadorea; Rhabditida; Anisakidae. The record is from RNAcentral.